UACGAAGGUGGCGAGCGUUGUUCGGAUUUACUGGGCGUACAGGGAGCGUAGGCGGUUGGAUAAGCCCUCCGUGAAAUCUCCAGGCUUAACCUGGAAAGUGCAGAGGGGACUGUUCAGCUAGAGGAUGGGAGAGGAGCGCGGAAUUCCCGGUGUAGCGGUGAAAUGCGUAGAGAUCGGGAGGAAGGCCGGUGGCGAAGGCGGCGCUCUGGAACAUUUCUGACGCUGAGGCUCGAAAGCGUGGGGAGCAAACAGG
RNAcentral lists this ribosomal RNA (253 nucleotides) under uncultured bacterium. RNAcentral's name for it is "partial 16S ribosomal RNA". It matches the Rfam family "Bacterial small subunit ribosomal RNA", at positions 524 to 776 of the family's 1533-position model. The record is from RNAcentral.